RNAcentral lists this ribosomal RNA (1464 nucleotides) under Escherichia coli. RNAcentral describes it as "bacterial SSU rRNA". It matches the Rfam family "Bacterial small subunit ribosomal RNA". Lineage: Bacteria; Pseudomonadati; Pseudomonadota; Gammaproteobacteria; Enterobacterales; Enterobacteriaceae. The record is from RNAcentral.
AUUGAACGCUGGCGGCAGGCCUAACACAUGCAAGUCGAACGGUAACAGGAAGCAGCUUGCUGCUUUGCUGACGUGGCGGACGGGUGAGUAAUGUCUGGGAAACUGCCNGAUGGAGGGGGAUAACUACUGGAAACGGUAGCUAAUACCGCAUAACGUCGCAAGACCAAAGAGGGGGACCUUAGGGCCUCUUGCCAUCGGAUGUGCCCAGAUGGGAUUAGCUAGUAGGUGGGGUAACGGCUCACCUAGGCGACGAUCCCUAGCUGGUCUGAGAGGAUGACCAGCCACACUGGAACUGAGACACGGUCCAGACUCCUACGGGAGGCAGCAGUGGGGAAUAUUGCACAAUGGGCGCAAGCCUGAUGCAGCCAUGCCGCGUGUAUGAAGAAGGCCUUCGGGUUGUAAAGUACUUUCAGCGGGGAGGAAGGGAGUAAAGUUAAUACCUUUGCUCAUUGACGUUACCCGCAGAAGAAGCACCGGCUAACUCCGUACGCCAGCAGCCGCGGUAAUACGGAGGGUGCAAGCGUUAAUCGGAAUUACUGGGCGUAAAGCGCACGCAGGCGGUUUGUUAAGUCAGAUGUGAAAUCCCCGGGCUCAACCUGGGAACUGCAUCUGAUACUGGCAAGCUUGAGUCUCGUAGAGGGGGGNAGAAUUCCAGGUGUAGCGGUGAAAUGCGUAGAGAUCUGGAGGAAUACCGGUGGCGAAGGCGGCCCCCUGGACGAAGACUGACGCUCAGGUGCGAAAGCGUGGGGAGCAAACAGGCCGUUACCCUGGUAGUCCACGCCGUAAACGAUGUCGACUUGGAGGUUGUGCCCUUGAGGCGUGGCUUCCGGAGCUAACGCGUUAAGUCGACCGCCUGGGGAGUACGGCCGCAAGGUUAAAACUCAAAUGAAUUGACGGGGGCCCGCACAAGCGGUGGAGCAUGUGGUUUAAUUCGAUGCAACGCGAAGAACCUUACCUGGUCUUGACAUCCACGGAAGUUUUCAGAGAUGAGAAUGUGCCUUCGGGAACCGUGAGACAGGUGCUGCAUGGCUGUCGUCAGCUCGUGUUGUGAAAUGUUGGGUUAAGUCCCGCAACGAGCGCAACCCUUAUCCUUUGUUGCCAGCGGUCCGGCCGGGAACUCAAAGGAGACUGCCAGUGAUAAACUGGAGGAAGGUGGGGAUGACGUCAAGUCAUCAUGCGCCCUUACGACCAGGGCUACACACGUGCUACAAUGGCGCAUACAAAGAGAAGCGACCUCGCGAGAGCAAGCGNACCUCAUAAAGUGCGUCGUAGUCCGGAUUGGAGUCUGCAACUCGACUCCAUGAAGUCGGAAUUAGUAAUCGUGGAUCAAGAAUGCCACGGUGAAUACGUUCCCGGGCCUUGUACACACCGCCCGUCACACCAUGGGAGUGGGUUGCAAAAGAAGUAGGUAGCUUAACCUUCGGGAGGGCGCUUACCACUUUGUGAUUCAUGACUGGGGUGAAG